GUCGAGCGGACUUGAUGGAGUGCUUGCACUCCUGAUGGUUAGCGGCGGACGGGUGAGUAACACGUAGGCAACCUGCCCUCAAGACUGGGAUAACUACCGGAAACGGUAGCUAAUACCGGAUAAUUUAUUUCACAGCAUUGUGGAAUAAUGAAAGACGGAGCAAUCUGUCACUUGGGGAUGGGCCUGCGGCGCAUUAGCUAGUUGGUGGGGUAAUGGCUCACCAAGGCGACGAUGCGUAGCCGACCUGAGAGGGUGAACGGCCACACUGGGACUGAGACACGGCCCAGACUCCUACGGGAGGCAGCAGUAGGGAAUCUUCCGCAAUGGGCGAAAGCCUGACGGAGCAACGCCGCGUGAGUGAUGAAGGUUUUCGGAUCGUAAAGCUCUGUUGCCAAGGAAGAACGUCUUCUAGAGUAACUGCUAGGAGAGUGACGGUACUUGAGAAGAAAGCCCCGGCUAACUACGUGCCAGCAGCCGCGGUAAUACGUAGGGGGCAAGCGUUGUCCGGAAUUAUUGGGCGUAAAGCGCGCGCAGGCGGUUCUUUAAGUCUGGUGUUUAAACCCGAGGCUCAACUUCGGGUCGCACUGGAAACUGGGGAACUUGAGUGCAGAAGAGGAGAGUGGAAUUCCACGUGUAGCGGUGAAAUGCGUAGAUAUGUGGAGGAACACCAGUGGCGAAGGCGACUCUCUGGGCUGUAACUGACGCUGA
RNAcentral lists this ribosomal RNA (708 nucleotides) under Paenibacillus sp. RNAcentral describes it as "bacterial SSU rRNA". It matches the Rfam family "Bacterial small subunit ribosomal RNA", at positions 61 to 749 of the family's 1533-position model. The record is from RNAcentral. Lineage: Bacteria; Bacillati; Bacillota; Bacilli; Caryophanales; Paenibacillaceae.